This 71-nucleotide ribosomal RNA is filed under the name Aposthonia borneensis. RNAcentral's name for it is "12S ribosomal RNA". Lineage: Eukaryota; Metazoa; Arthropoda; Insecta; Embioptera; Oligotomidae. The record is from RNAcentral.
GCCCGUCAUUUUCAAAUUAAAAAUUUUUGGAACAAGUCGUAACAUAGUUGGUGUAUUGGAAAGUGUAUCUU